CCUGUUUUUAUUUUAACAUCCGGACCUGACGUUUGUUUUUAGGCGGAAACCCGUACCUGACAUUCCACUGUGCCAACCAGGGCACCAUACUGAUAGACCUUUCCCCGGAAGACAAGGAGUACCAGUCAGUGGAGGAGGAGAUGCAGAGCACCAUCCGCGAGCACCGGGAUGGGGGCAACGCUGGAGGCGUUUUCAGCCGAUACCACAUCAUCAAGAUUCAGAAGGUCGUGAACAAGAAGCUGAGGGAACGCUACACACACAGGCAGAAGGAGAUCGCCGACGAGAACCACAACCACCACAACGAGCGCAUGUU
Molecule: long non-coding RNA, 313 nt
Organism: Cynoglossus semilaevis (tongue sole)
Lineage: Eukaryota; Metazoa; Chordata; Actinopteri; Pleuronectiformes; Cynoglossidae
Exons: 3
Source: RefSeq, a predicted model, not a curated record